RNAcentral lists this ribosomal RNA (1121 nucleotides) under Clostridium sp. RNAcentral's name for it is "bacterial SSU rRNA". It matches the Rfam family "Bacterial small subunit ribosomal RNA", at positions 391 to 1532 of the family's 1533-position model. The record is from RNAcentral. Lineage: Bacteria; Bacillati; Bacillota; Clostridia; Eubacteriales; Clostridiaceae.
GCAACGCCGCGUGGGUGAUGAAGGUCUUCGGAUUGUAAAGCCCUGUNUUCUGGGACGAUAAUGACGGUACCAGAGGAGGAAGCCACGGCUAACUACGUGCCAGCAGCCGCGGUAAUACGUAGGUGGCGAGCGUUGUCCGGAUUUACUGGGCGUAAAGGGUGCGUAGGCGGAUGUUUAAGUGGGAUGUGAAAUCCCCGGGCUUAACCUGGGGGCUGCAUUCCAAACUGGAUAUCUAGAGUGCAGGAGAGGAAAGCGGAAUUCCUAGUGUAGCGGUGAAAUGCGUAGAGAUUAGGAAGAACACCAGUGGCGAAGGCGGCUUUCUGGACUGUAACUGACGCUGAGGCACGAAAGCGUGGGUAGCAAACAGGAUUAGAUACCCUGGUAGUCCACGCCGUAAACGAUGGAUACUAGGUGUAGGGGGUAUCAACUCCCCCUGUGCCGCAGUUAACACAAUAAGUAUCCCGCCUGGGGAGUACGGUCGCAAGAUUAAAACUCAAAGGAAUUGACGGGGGCCCGCACAAGCAGCGGAGCAUGUGGUUUAAUUCGAAGCAACGCGAAGAACCUUACCUGGACUUGACAUCCCUUGCAUAGCCUAGAGAUAGGUGAAGCCCUUCGGGGCAAGGAGACAGGUGGUGCAUGGUUGUCGUCAGCUCGUGUCGUGAGAUGUUAGGUUAAGUCCUGCAACGAGCGCAACCCUUGUUAUUAGUUGCUACCAUUAAGUUGAGCACUCUAAUGAGACUGCCUGGGUAACCAGGAGGAAGGUGGGGAUGACGUCAAAUCAUCAUGCCCCUUAUGUCCAGGGCUACACACGUGCUACAAUGGUAGGUACAAUAAGACGCAAGACCGUGAGGUGGAGCAAAACUUAUAAAACCUAUCUCAGUUCGGAUUGUAGGCUGCAACUCGCCUACAUGAAGCUGGAGUUGCUAGUAAUCGCGAAUCAGAAUGUCGCGGUGAAUACGUUCCCGGGCCUUGUACACACCGCCCGUCACACCAUGAGAGCUGGUAACACCCGAAGUCCGUGAGGUAACCGUAAGGAGCCAGCGGCCGAAGGUGGGAUUAGUGAUUGGGGUGAAGUCGUAACAAGGUAGCCGUAGGAGAACCUGCGGCUGGAUCACCUCCUU